Molecule: long non-coding RNA, 501 nt
Filed under: Equus asinus (donkey)
Lineage: Eukaryota; Metazoa; Chordata; Mammalia; Perissodactyla; Equidae
Description: lncRNA (ENSEASG00005038146.1)
Source: RNAcentral
UGCUAUCUCGUGAGCAGCUCCAGCACCAACUAGCUGUGUGUCCUGGGGCGGGGCCCCGAACCUCUCUAAGCCUGAGCUUCUCUAUAAAACAGGCCUCAUAAUUAGAGUGUCUACUCACAGAACUGCUGAUAUAGUCUCUUCGUACAAACUGUGACAUAUGAAGUUUUAGAGUAAAAGCCGUCACUCCUCAGCAGUAAUUCCAGAAAUGGAAACACCGCAGAUGGAGCUGGACUAGCUGUAACCUGUCCCCAGAGGUCACAGCUGCUGUUCUGUCGUCGUGUGUCCUUCCAGACCUGGCCCCUGCGUUCACGGGAACACGGUGUCUUCAGAAAACACGCAGUCUAAAUGGAUGGACGGACAUUUACCUGGAAGAAGGUCCUACUGAUGCGCCACCAGAUCUCUUCUGAGCCUCAUCACGAGCAACAUUAUGAUCUUGAGUGAAGACGUGAACCAUUCUAAUUUGGGGUAAGAUCCAAACCCAAGAAGUAAACAGGGUAACAG